This 950-nucleotide non-coding RNA is filed under the name Clupeichthys perakensis (Perak river sprat). Its description in RNAcentral is "12S rRNA". It matches the Rfam family "Bacterial small subunit ribosomal RNA". The record is from RNAcentral. Lineage: Eukaryota; Metazoa; Chordata; Actinopteri; Clupeiformes; Clupeidae.
CAAAGAUUUGGUCCUGAUCUUAUUAUCAGCUUUAACCUAGUUUACACAUGCAAGUAUCCGCAACCCCGUGAGGAUGCCCUCACUCCCCCGUCCGGGGACGAGGAGCCGGUAUCAGGCACGACACUCAGCCCAAGACACCUUGCUUUGCCACACCCCCAAGGGUAUUCAGCAGUGAUAGACAUUAAGCCAUGAGUGAAAACUUGACUUAGCCAAGGUUAAGAGGGCCGGUAAAACUCGUGCCAGCCACCGCGGUUAUACGAGAGACCCAAGUUGACAACAUCGGCGUAAAGAGUGGUUAUGGGAAACACAUGCUAGAGCUAAAGACCUCUUCAGCCGUUAUACGCUAAUAGAAGUUCGAACACCAUCAACGAAAGUGGCUUUAAACUUUUUCUACCAGAACCCACGACAGCUGGGGCACAAACUGGGAUUAGAUACCCCACUAUGCCUAGCCGUAAACUUAGAUACCUAAAUACAAAAGUAUCCGCCAGGGGACUACAAGCACAGCUUAAAACCCAAAGGACUUGGCGGUGCUUCAGACCCACCUAGAGGAGCCUGUUCUAGAACCGAUAAUCCCCGUUCAACCUCACUACUUCUUGUUUUUCCCGCCUAUAUACCACCGUCGCCAGCUUACCCUAUGAAGGCACCACAGUAAGCAAAAUGAACACUGUCCAAAACGUCAGGUCGAGGUGUAGCGUACGAAGUAGGAAGAAAUGGGCUACAUUUCCUAGUAUAGGAAACCACGAAAGGUAAUUCUGAAAUUGGAAACCAGAAGGUGGAUUUAGCAGUAAAGGAGGAGCAGAGUGCCUCCUUGAAGCCGGCUCUGAAGCGCGCACACACCGCCCGUCACUCUCCCCAACAACCUCUUUUAAAAGUAAAUAACACCUUUUAUGGCAACAAGGGGAGGUAAGUCGUAACAUGGUAAGUGUACCGGAAGGUGCACUUGGAAUAAU